RNAcentral lists this ribosomal RNA (395 nucleotides) under uncultured bacterium. RNAcentral's name for it is "partial 16S ribosomal RNA". It matches the Rfam family "Bacterial small subunit ribosomal RNA", at positions 523 to 918 of the family's 1533-position model. The record is from RNAcentral.
AUACGUAGGGUGCAAGCGUUAAUCGGAAUUACUGGGCGUAAAGCGUGCGCAGGCGGUUUUGUAAGACAGAGGUGAAAUCCCCGGGCUCAACCUGGGAACUGCCUUUGUGACUGCAAGGCUAGAGUACGGCAGAGGGGGAUGGAAUUCCGGGUGUAGGAGUGGAAUGCGUAGAUAUGCGGAGGAACACCGAUGGCGAAGGCAAUCCCCUGGGCCUGUACUGACGCUCAUGCGCGAAAGCGUGGGGAGCAAACAGGAUUAGAUACCCUGGUAGUCCACGCCCUAAACGAUGUCAACUGGUUGUUGGGUCUUCAUUGACUCAGUAACGAAGCUAACGCGUGAAGUUGACCGCCUGGGGAGUACGGCCGCAAGGUUGAAACUCAAAUGAAUUGACGGGG